AGAAUAUGAAGAACUAGAGAGAUGAACCAGACAUGCCCUCAGGAACUCACAGUCUAGUGGACCCUGCCCUGGCCUGGGCAGGUCUCCCCACUCCUAGUGAGUCUACACCCCUCUGGGCUACCACCCCUCACCUCAUGCUGUCUCCUGAAAAGGACUCUUCCCCUGGACUGAAACAGGCUUGGCACAUCACCUACAGGUAUCUGGGCAACCAGAUGAAUAAAUGAGGCUCCAGAGAUGAAGUAACAUACUCAAGGCAAGACUUUGUAAAGAUGAGUACUUUGAAGAAGAAAGAAGCCAAGCCCAAGUACAGUUAGCCAUAGAACUGAGCUCCAUGCCUAUGCACUCUGCCUCUAGACUGAUGUAGGGCAAGUGAGCCCCCAAAUUGGGACUUAGACCGGAAGAGUUCUUGGCUUCACCCAGGAAAUAAUUCAAGGAGUACCAGAGGAUAUGUUUCAGCAAAAAUUAGAAGUAAACCAAGAAUAUAGAAUCCAGGGGAUUCAACACGGGAGAGUAGCAGAGGAAAUUCCCAGGACGUGAGCUUCGCAGCAGGCAUAAAGAGUAACAGGCCAGGUUGAAAGAAGAAAUCCAGAGCCCCAGGAGGGAAGACUCCAGGGAAAGAGGAGAGACUGAUAGAUGCUAUGAUGUAAGACAAAACUUAUGAAAAUAAUCUUAAUAAUAAUGGUAUGGCAGAUAUAAUGCAACAUUUGGAAACAUUUAAGAAAACGAUGCAACUGAA
RNAcentral lists this long non-coding RNA (736 nucleotides) under Homo sapiens (human). Its description in RNAcentral is "HSALNT0389422". The record is from RNAcentral. Lineage: Eukaryota; Metazoa; Chordata; Mammalia; Primates; Hominidae.